Molecule: long non-coding RNA, 964 nt
Organism: Astatotilapia calliptera (eastern happy)
Lineage: Eukaryota; Metazoa; Chordata; Actinopteri; Cichliformes; Cichlidae
Source: Ensembl
GUGAGAUGUAAUUUCUCUAACAUAGAUAGAUAAACCAGGAUGGACCGGCUCAUUAGUACUUGAAACUUUAGCUGAUGGAGAGUUGUUGUUUUUUUUUGUGUGUUUUUUUUGUUUGUUUGUUUAUCAAAACCGCUUUCCUCUGUUAUCUUUAGCUCCACAAAGUGUUAAUAAUGUGACUAAAAAUGGACAAAAUGAGACCAGCAUAACUCUGGGGUGGAAAACAGUCCCCAACAUCGACAAAUACAUUCUUGCAUUUAAUGAAAGAGAGAUCAACAUUAGUAAUUCUGAAAAAGAAUACAGAGUGUUAAAUUUGACCAGUGGAACCAGAUACAAUUUCACUCUCUUCACUGUGUUUGAUAAUGUCAGAAGCAGUGGAGUAAACUGCAUCGCAGUUACUGCUCCUCGUAAUGCUGACGACUUUAAGAAAAAUGGACAAAAUGAGACCAGCAUAACUCUGGGGUGGAAAACAGUCCCUAACAUCGACAAUUAUAUUCUUGCGUUUAAUGGGAGCAAGAUCAAUAUUAGUAAUUCUGAAAAAGAAUACAGUGUUAAAUUUGACCAGUGGAACCAGAUACAAUUUCACUCUCUUCACUGUGUUUGAUAAUGUCAGAAGCAGUGGAGUAAACUGCAUCGCAGUUACUGGUGAGAUGUAAUUUCUCUAACAUAGAUAGAUAAACCAGGAUGGACCGGCUCAUUAGUACUUGAAACUUUAGCUGAUGGAGAGUUGUUGUUUUUUUUUGUGUGUUUUUUUUGUUUGUUUGUUUAUCAAAACCGCUUUCCUCUGUUAUCUUUAGCUCCACAAAGUGUUAAUAAUGUGACUGUGGUGCAUCAAAAUGAGAUGAGUAUACCACUGGAGUGGGACAAGGUUAAAAACAUCCCAGAAUACAUCCUACAGAAUAAUAACAUAAACAUUUGUUCAAUUUUCCAAUUUGAAUAUGUCAAAUACUAACCCGACCUAUAAUCC